UACGUAGGGUGCAAGCGUUACUCGGAAUUACUGGGCGUAAAGCGUGCGCAGGCGGUUUGCUAAGACCGAUGUGAAAUCCCCGGGCUUAACCUGGGAACUGCAUUGGUGACUGGCAAGCUAGAGUGUGGCAGAGGGGGGUAGAAUUCCACGUGUAGCAGUGAAAUGCGUAGAGAUGUGGAGGAAUACCGAUGGCGAAGGCAGCCCCCUGGGCCAACACUGACGCUCAUGCACGAAAGCGUGGGGAGCAAACAGG
Molecule: ribosomal RNA, 253 nt
Filed under: uncultured bacterium
Lineage: Bacteria
Description: partial 16S ribosomal RNA
Rfam family: Bacterial small subunit ribosomal RNA
Source: RNAcentral